ACAUCCCCGCCUGACCCGCGAUGCCGGAGAGAAGCCCCAUCCUGUUUGGCUCACUCCGCACCUUCCGGUCCCCUGAGAGGGCUGGCUGCCGCGGGCGGAGUCUGAGUGUUACAGUUGAGAGCCGAGUGCAGAGGCACGUGCCGGAGAGGAAGCCCCGAGAGCCAGCCGUGAAGAAGGAAGCUUUGCUCCAGAGACUGUAACCAGGGCGAUUGGGAGGCUGGCCUGGGUGUGGGGUGAUUCAGACGAUGGCAAGCAAACGAACACAUAACACCUCUUUGUCUAACUCAGGGAGGCCAAAUGAACUUCUCGAGAACGGUGAAUUUUCCAGGUUCUGCCUUUUUUUUGGAGGAAGAACUUCCAAGUAUCAAUAUAAUAAUCAAACAACUAGUGAGGACUUUUUGAUGUCUAAAGGUGCAUAGUCUCUGAGAAGUCUUCAGAGCAUCUCUUGACAAGACAACCUGGGCAAAAGUGAACAUCCUUCAACUAGAGCAACCAUUUCCCUCACAGUGCAGCAGCCACCACUCAAAGAAUGUGGGAACUUCUUGAAGGAGAAAAUUGGUAUAUCAGCUAACUUUGUUGUAUAACAAGCUAUCUCUUAACUUUAGCCACCUUGAAAUAAUAACCAUGAUUUCGUGGG
Molecule: non-coding RNA, 637 nt
Organism: Odocoileus virginianus texanus
Lineage: Eukaryota; Metazoa; Chordata; Mammalia; Artiodactyla; Cervidae
Source: RefSeq, a predicted model, not a curated record